GACGAACGCUGGCGGCGUGCUUAACACAUGCAAGUCGAACGGAAAGGCCCUGCUUUUGUGGGGUGCUCGAGUGGCGAACGGGUGAGUAACACGUGAGUAACCUUCCCUUGACUUUGGGAUAACUUCAGGAAACUGGGGCUAAUACCGGAUAGGAGCUCCUGCUGCAUGGUGGGGGUUGGAAAGUUUCGGCGGUUGGGGAUGGACUUGCGGCUUAUCAGCUUGUUGGUGGGGUAGUGGCUUACCAAGGCUUUGACGGGUAGCCGGCCUGAGAGGGUGACCGGCGACCAUGGUACUGAGAUACGGACCAGACUCCAACGGGAGGCAGCAGUGGGGAAUAUUGCACAAUGGGCGGAAGCCUGAUGCAGCAACGCCGCGUGCGGGAUGACGGCCUUCGGGUUGUAAACCGCUUUCGCCUGUGACGAAGCGUGAGUGACGGUACUGGGUAAAGAAGCACCGGCUAACUACGUG
RNAcentral lists this ribosomal RNA (468 nucleotides) under uncultured bacterium. Its description in RNAcentral is "partial 16S ribosomal RNA". It matches the Rfam family "Bacterial small subunit ribosomal RNA", at positions 28 to 507 of the family's 1533-position model. The record is from RNAcentral.